This 486-nucleotide ribosomal RNA is filed under the name uncultured bacterium. Its description in RNAcentral is "partial 16S ribosomal RNA". It matches the Rfam family "Bacterial small subunit ribosomal RNA", at positions 899 to 1397 of the family's 1533-position model. The record is from RNAcentral.
ACUCAAAUGAAUUGACGGGGACUUGCACAAGCGGUGGAUCAUGCGGCUCAAUUCGAUGGUAAACGAAGAACCUCACCCGGGUUUGAAACCCAGUGGAAAUCCUAGGGAAACUUAGGACCUCGCAAGACCACUGGGCAGGUGAUGCAUGGUCGUCGUCAGUUCGUGGCUUGAGUUGUUCCCUUCAGUGGGGUAACGAACGCAACCCGCGUUGCCUGUUUUAUAUGUCAGGCGAGACUGCCCUCUCACGAGGGAGGAAGGUGCGGAUGACGCCAGAUCAGCAUGUCCCUCUGAUAUCCGGGGCUGCACGCAUGAUACAAUGCAUACGACAACGGGACGCAAUGUGGUAACACGGAGCAAAUCCUUAUAAACGUAUGCCCAGUUCGGAUUGAGGUCUGCAACUCGACCUCAUGAAGCCGGAAUCGCUAGUAAUCGCGGGUCAGCUAUACCGCGGUGAAUACGUUCUCAAGUCUUGUACACACCGCCCGU